CACUCGGUAGCACAUGGUUUGUGCCUGCUUGAACUGGUUCGUAGACAGAUGGUUAUGCAGGAGUUUCCCGGUUCGAUUCCGGGUCGGGUGA
Mycena metata is the source of this 91-nucleotide non-coding RNA. The record is from the annotation of a GenBank genome assembly. NCBI's taxonomy places the organism in Eukaryota, Fungi, Basidiomycota, Agaricomycetes, Agaricales, Mycenaceae.